AAUCCAUAGGUUAAUGAGGCGAACCGGGGGAACUGAAACAUCUAAGUACCCCGAGGAAAAGAAAUCAACCGAGAUUCCCCCAGUAGCGGCGAGCGAACGGGGAGGAGCCCAGAGCCUGAAUCAGCAUGUGUGUUAGUGGAAGCGUCUGGAAAGGUGCGCGAUACAGGGUGACAGCCCCGUACACAAAAGCGCAUGUGCUGUGAGCUCGAUGAGUAGGGCGGGACACGUGGUAUCCUGUCUGAAUAUGGGGGGACCAUCCUCCAAGGCUAAAUACUCCUGACUGACCGAUAGUGAACCAGUACCGUGAGGGAAAGGCGAAAAGAACCCCGGCGAGGGGAGUGAAAAAGAACCUGAAACCGUGUACGUACAAGCAGUGGGAGCACAGGUUUACCUGUGUGACUGCGUACCUUUUGUAUAAUGGGUCAGCGACUUAUAUUCUGUAGCAAGGUUAACCGUAUAGGGGAGCCGGAGGGAAACCGAGUCUUAAC
This 488-nucleotide ribosomal RNA is filed under the name Salmonella enterica subsp. enterica. RNAcentral's name for it is "partial 23S ribosomal RNA". It matches the Rfam family "Bacterial large subunit ribosomal RNA", at positions 161 to 688 of the family's 2925-position model. The record is from RNAcentral. Lineage: Bacteria; Pseudomonadati; Pseudomonadota; Gammaproteobacteria; Enterobacterales; Enterobacteriaceae.